Molecule: small RNA, 29 nt
Filed under: Bombyx mori (domestic silkworm)
Lineage: Eukaryota; Metazoa; Arthropoda; Insecta; Lepidoptera; Bombycidae
Description: ovarian small RNA-12310
Source: RNAcentral
AGUUAAAGUAUGGAGUUCCUCUAAGGGAA